Molecule: long non-coding RNA, 6042 nt
Filed under: Sus scrofa (pig)
Lineage: Eukaryota; Metazoa; Chordata; Mammalia; Artiodactyla; Suidae
Description: lncRNA (ENSSSCG00030052975.1)
Source: RNAcentral
CCCUGCCUCCUUCUAGCAGCCUACCUUGGAAAUCUCAGUGUCUCAUCCUAAAGAGAGGAUAAAAAGCAAUCACCGUACACUUCAGAGGCUUUUUCUAAGCAUUCCAUGCAAUAACAAGUAUGGGAAACCUAUGUAUGUGAUCAGGUACUCAGGAAUUAUUUCUGCUCCAUUACCUGAGAGAAGUUAACAUAAACCCUAGGUAUUUCAUCUGAUUUUCACUCAAGUGCAAAAUAUGUCUAGUUUUAGUCUGUAAUGUGACUUCAGACCUGCAAGGCAGCAUGGCUGAGAGUCUGGACUACAAACUUAAUCAGUGAGCAGAGGAAAAACAAAAAACACAGGAUUUGUGGAUAUUUUUCUAACACUGAAAAAUGACACCUUCAAGUCUGCAAGGACACAUUUCUGGUUCCGAUAGUCCGGGCAUGGCUGCCCCAGUUACUCAAUCUCCUGUCACGUUGGAAAUGAAUCCAACUAGUAUCCAUGAGGACAAGGGUUUGAUCCCUGGACUCUCUCAGUGGGUUAAGGAUCCAAAAAGAAGAAAAAAAAAUAAAGCAGCUAUAAACAGACCUGGAGAUGUGGCCGGUUCCCCAGACCCUAAGUACUUCAGGCCUGGUAAACUGGCUCCACGCUGCAGAACGUGAUGUCAAUGUAGAUGCAGUUCUGAACAAGCCCAUUAUUUUCUCCCAGAGAAGAAGAGAAGGGUCGAAGUAGACAGACUCUCUCCAGUAAUCUCACCAACAUAAUUUGGGUGGGGAGGUGAGAGCCACUCAUUCACUUAUGCAUUCAUUCUGUCAGUCAGUCAACAAUUAUCUAUUAAGCCCUUAUUAAUGCCCUACUAGGAAUUUUUUCAGGUAAGGCAAACAAACUGGACAAGAAUGCUAGAGACUUUUCUUUCUACUGUGUGGUACAGGAUGGGGACUGUGCUGAGACACAGAAGGGAGAUGAAUCAGUGAAGUAAUAAAAUGAGGUGAUUCUGGACAAUGACAAGUGUCAUUAAAGAUGAUACACAGGGUAACAGGAUAGAGAUUGCAGAGUGGACGGGGGAACGGUUUUAGUUUGAGGAUAAAGGGAAGCCUCACCGAAGAGGUGACAUCUGAGCUACGAAUUAGAAGGAUCCACUUGUGCUAAGUUCUAGGGAAAGAGCUUGAUGGACAGAAGGGGGGACGUGCCCUGUGAGAAAGCCCACCCCUCCCUCUGAAGAGCUGGUUUGACUCAUAGUGUUUCCAGGGUGGAGUUUCCAUACACAGCUCGUUGAGACUUGAGGAAGCAUGGUGCUAAAGAAGCAUCCUCUUCCAACCCUCUGGAGGCACUGCUGCGGCAGCUCCACAGCAGAUCUGGAGCCUCAUUUGCCUCCUCCACUUGGCACGCACCUUCAUCUUUCAGUCUCAUAUCACAGAAAAAGCAUGUUAGAAGAGUAAGAGAGAGAAUACCCUAUGUGUGCAUAUAUAUGUAUAUGUACAUACACCCAAACACAGUAAUUUAGCUUCUAGGCACGUCUGUACAAGUUUGGAGUGGGCCUUCGCAAUUUUGUGGAGGGAACCUAGACGGAAAAAAUCAGGCAAAUAGAGGACUAUAGUGCCUGUUGAUGAUCUUGGCGCCUUUGAUCCUCACCCACUACCUCACACCUCCCCCAGGUUUGGACAAGGAUUUGUGUCUGAACCCCUCUAGAGCAGGCAGAAGCUGGGAGAGGCAUUUUAAAAGGUACCUGAAGCUGACUGAGGGGUCAGGCAACAAUACACAGCUUAGCAAGGAACAGGACAUCGUGGGCAGGGGACACGAUCAGCUUACAUCCAGUGAGAAUUUGCACCUUUAGUAUCUCAAUAGAAAGCCUCUUCUUCAGGGGCAUCUGUUUAAUGCGGGCCUCCCCUCAAUGCAGUGUCCACAAGGCUGGGGCCUUUGGAUGUCAAUCAGAAGAUUGUCCGAAAUAUAACAGAGUCACAAGGAACUUUUGGUGAAUUUGCCCCAAUCUUACAAAGGUCACUGGCAGUCAUGGCAAAAGGUGGACAUCCCCAAGCAGUGUCAAGACAAGAGUACAUGGGAAAAGGUUAUUUACAACCAUGUCAGGCACUCCUUCAUACACCCAGAAAUACAUAGAGGACAACUAUCCAAGUUAGGACAGUGGCAAGAGGCAAGGCAAGGUAAUAAUUACCAUUAGUCAGUUACCCUUGUGCCACAGAUGAAGCAGCCUAGAGAUGCAAACAAUGCAAGUUCAUGUGGAAUUUUAGGUGCUUGGGAAGGCCAUCUCAAUUUCUAGGGUUGAAUUAUGAGAUGAUUUGAAACUGUAAGGAAAAUUGUUCUAUUUGAAUAUACACUCUAAACUUAUUCUCAGUUAGACAUGGUAUUCAAAGCCAAAGCUCAGCUAAGAACCUGACUCUAACUACCCUAAUUUCUUCAAUAGUUGCUACUGGGCUCACAACCCUACUAGGAAAUGCCAAUGAUACUAACAUCCAUGUUUUACUCAACUCCGAUGACUUGAGCUGUAGCUCUGUGGUCCCUGCUGAGAAGAUGAUUUUUUUGUUUUGCUUUGUUUUUCCCUUUGGACAAGGCAAAUUCGCCACUGCCUAUGGCUUUGCCUAGGUUGUCAGGUUGGAUGUCCUUAGGAGAUCCUCCAGGGGAAUUUUGACCUUGGUCACUGUCAGGAACCAACCAUUUUCCUUCCAUCUCAAGUACGAUUUUCUUCUUAAUUUACAGUAAACCCUCUGAGUGCUUAACCAGACAAAGGUGAGCCCUCCUGUGGUCCAAGUACCAACUUACAUUUGCUGGAAGACCAAAUGUGUACAAACUUCAACUGGGAGUGUUUACCCGGAACUUCAAAGUUCCCAAGUUUUAGAAGCCGUUGUUAUAUUAAUAAUGUAAGCUUCAGGCACACAGAAGGGGAUCGAGGCCCCACCAAAGAAGAAGCAGAUAUUCAGUACUUCCUCUGAUGAUGAGUUCCUUGGUCAGCCAAUGAUGCCAGUGCCCACCUGUGCUCCUGCUGCAUCUCACAUACACUUAGAUGAAUCAUUAUAAUAAAAUGGUGCUAGCAGUACAAUCCUCCAUCCAUCUUCAAAAGCUGGCUCCACCCCUGAUCAUCUAUUUGGCCAAGCUUCUUGACUUUGCCUCAGUUUCUUCACCAGAAAGUCAAUGUAAGGAUGCCUGCCUACCAGAGUGGGAGAAUGGAUGAUAAAAUGAGAUAAUGGAAAUCCCUUAGCAGUGUCUUGCGUUCAGCAGGGACUCCAUAAACAUCAGCAAAUUAAGAGGGACCUAAUAGAAUGCUGUAAAAUUCCUUCCCACAGUCAGAGUCAAGAUGGCUGUGGAGGCAAGCAACAUGCCAGGUAUAAACCCCUGGUGAUUCCAAGGAAUAGCUGAGCAGGGUUUGUGGCUGAGAGUCAGCCAGGGAUGCUCUGGUUCUCACUAAGGAGAGGACCCCAUGAGUGCCAUAGGCUGAAGGAUCUGGGGACACAAGAUCACCCAAGAAUCAGGAAAUCUGAGACCCACAACAGCAGUCACAAAUCCACAAGCUAGUUUCCUCCUUGGACCUAGCCAGGGCUCAGAGGGAACACAUCUCCACUUCUCCAGCUACCAACAAAGGUCAAAGAACCUGCCCUGUCCAAGGCCUCCUCCGUGAAGAUUUCUGAGUCCCCUUUCCUCAAAGACGCCUGCUCCUCCUGGUUGCCCUGAUUCCUGGUAUCUCUAGUUCACAGCCAACUCAGAGUUGAGCGUGGGGCUUAUGGCCACGAGUUCUGGAAAUUGCACAGCCAGCUCAAGUCCCAGAUGCGCUGCCUUCUAGCGCAGGGCCCCAGACAAGUCACCUACCUUUCCUGGACCUUGGCUCUUCACCUAUCUGUAACAAGGAGAAAACAGCUAGCAUUGACCUCCUAGGGUGCUGAAAAGAUUAAACAAGAUCAAGAUGAGAAAGCCCUUAGCUUUCUAUGGAAACAAGCAACCGUCACCCUGGUUACUGCUGCUCCUUGAAUCUGCUCAGGGCCAGAGUGCAGGGGAAGGGGCCAGAGUUCGCCCACCCUUAGCGGCCCAAGUGGUCAGUGCGAACUGGACCAGGCAAAACCUUCAAAAGCACUCUUCUGGCCAUAUUCAGUGAGACAAACAGGGAAAGGCCCCUAUGCCUGCCAAAACUUGGCCUAGUAAAUAAUUGAUGUCCUGCCGUGUGUUCUUUUAUUCAGAAACGCCUUUGAAGUCCGCCCUCGCCCUUGCUGCAGGGCUCGGGAUGGUGGGGGAGGCGGGCCAGUAGGAGGGAAGGGAAGGAGGCACCGAAGAGGAAUGGGCAGUGUGUGAUCUGGAAGAUGGAAAACCUAAAGCCAUUUGGGGUAUUUGUUCAGGUCUGGAGUCAUUAACUGUAACUUUUAAUCAAGCAGGAUUCUUAGCAGCCAAGCACCAAAAAGGGAAGAUGGAGAAGAAUACAAAAGCAAUUCUUAGUAACAGCUGUGGGUGCUAGACCGACAGCUCCCUCCUGGGGAGGUGACAGUUGGUGAAAACAUUGAGCAGCAGGCAUGAGUUUACCUGGGCAAGAGCAGCCAGCCGGGCCUCACAGGGACUAAUUAUGAAAAUAUGAUUACCAUGGAUUAGUAAUCUUGUCAAUCAGAGCCACAUGCCAGGGAGCACCUGGCAGAGGGUGAAAAUGCCACAGGACAGAGAAUUUGAUGUUGGUGGGGGAUUUUUUUUUUUUUUUUUGGAGUGGGUUUAUAAAAAAACAUUCCUUCCCAGGAGGGAGGGCUGGGCCCUUCAAGUCCAGGGGAUGAGAACAUGCAGAGGAUGACCUAACAGGCCCCUGGCCAGGAGCAUGCAGGAUUCAGGAUUCACGACUCGACAGUCCUAGCAUGUCAAAAUUGGAAAUUCUGGAUGACAUCCUCUUAUUGCCAUCCAUGAGAACAGGCUCACAGUUUGCUCCCUGUUUUGCCUAAGCCUGGAAGGAAACGAGUAUUGUCUUCCCGUGGUCAUCAAGGAAAGGUAAAUACAGGCUAAGAAAUUAUAUUGGCAGAAAAUACUAACUACAGCUACCUUUCCUGGGCACACAGAAAUGCAUCUGGCCAGGUGCCCAGCAGUUUAGUCUUUGUCUCAUUUACUGCUUACAAAACCUUGUGAGCUAAGCACUAUUUCUCUCCUAAAACACCAGAAGCUCAGGUGUUGUGACUUGGCCCAUGCCAUAUCACAUGAAAAAAAUAGAUCUCUGAACUCCAGGACUUAUUCUCCCAGUCUCCAGCUUCUACUGCCUAUUGCAAAAGGGAACCAAAAACCAAAUCUUCUCCAUCUCCCUUUCCUGUAGCUGUCAAAGCAUCCUCCAUGUCACAGUGACAGCCAGGACAAAAGGAAGGCAGCAGCAACUAGAGGACCAGACACUCAACUGGGCAUCAGAGAACCGAUGUUUCUCAACUCAACUACGAGCUACCUCUAACAGAGUACUUACUGAGCCCUGUCAUUGUAUUAAAUGCUUUGAUUACUUUAGAUAGUUAACCUUCAAAGUAAAGGUACCAAGGAAGUAUCGAUCUAUGUCAUAGAUGAGCAAAUGGUGUCUUAGAAAAGUUGGGCAAUGGUCCAUAUGCUCAAGAGGUGGUAAGAGUUAGAGAAGAAACUCUAAACAGGUUGUUCUGAUACCCAGGCUUGGUUUCCUAUGACUACUCUCUUUGCGAGAGGCAUGUGAGUAUUUUAAAUCCUCAUCAACCUUCUCCAUAUCCUGUAUGCACAGCACUGAGCUACAGACUGAUCAAUUUUUCCCCCUGCAGAAACAAGAUAACAUUUGUCAAGUCAUUGUACUGAGUCAUCACCAGGAAAAGUGACCUGCAGUGGCAGGAGAUAAAAUUCUAUCCAGAUUCAUAGAAUUUUAUUACCGAGGAAAAUUCUAGAGUGACCUAAAUUUAAUUCAUAUUUGGCCAUGCAAAAAGAAAACAGAUCUGCUUUCUGGCUUAUGGUUGUUAGAGAUGAAGAAAUGGAAGCAUGCUCAGCUUGAUGUACAAAAGAGAAUGUCUCACAAUGUAUAUUGUAUGUUGUAAUCAUUACGAAUUCAAAUGUACACUAAAAAGAAAAACUGAAAGACUUUUGUAACACUGCAAU